This is a non-coding RNA of Potamilus streckersoni, 73 nucleotides long. The record is from the annotation of a GenBank genome assembly. NCBI's taxonomy places the organism in Eukaryota, Metazoa, Mollusca, Bivalvia, Unionida, Unionidae.
GCUCCGGUGGCCUAGUGGUUAGAGCGUCCGCCUUGGAUACAGAAGGUAGUGGGUUCGAUCCCCGGUCGAGUCA